AAGGCUGUCUUGAAAACGAAAGUGAUUAGAGCGCCUGCCCAUUUUAUACAAACAUUAAAGUAACAAACGUAGUCUUAUUAUAAUCUAAUAAAACUUUCAACAACGGACCUCUUGGCUCUCGCAUCGAUGAAGAACGCAGCGAAAUGCGAUAAGUAAUGUGAAUUGCAGAAUUCAGUGAAUCAUCGAAUCUUUGAACGCACCUUGCGCUCUUUGGUAUUCCGAAGAGCAUGCCUGUUUGAGUGUCAUGAAAAUAUCAACCUUGACUUGGGUUUAGUGCUCUUGUCUUGGCUUGGAUUUGGCUGCUUGCCGCUCGAAAGAGUCGGCUCAGCUUAAAAGUAUUAGCUGGAUCUGUCUUUGAGACUUGGUUUGACUUGGCGUAAUAAGUUAUUUCGCUGAGGACAAUCUUCGGAUUGGCCGAGUUUCUGGGACGUUUGUCCGCUUUCUAAUACAAGUUCUAGCUUGCUAGACAUGACUUUUUUAUUAUCUGGCCUCAAAUCAGGUAGGACUACCCGCUGAACUUAAGCAUAUCAAUAAGCGGAGGAAAAGAAACUAACAAGGAUUCCCCUAGUAACGGCGAGUGAAGCGGGAAGAGCUCAAAUUUGAAAUCUGGUGGCCUCAGGCUAUCCGAGUUGUAAUCUAUAGAAACAUUUUCCGCGUUGGCCCAUGUACAAGUCUCUUGGA
RNAcentral lists this ribosomal RNA (681 nucleotides) under uncultured fungus. RNAcentral's name for it is "eukaryotic LSU rRNA". The stretch from base 92 to 245 matches the Rfam family "5.8S ribosomal RNA". The record is from RNAcentral. Lineage: Eukaryota; Fungi.